UGCGGCGGGAGCGAGGCGCGGCGCGAGACCGCCCCCCCGCCCCUCAGGGCCCCCCCGCGGCGCUUUCCCGCCCUCGGGGCGCCGCGCGCUCGCUGAGGGGGCAGGCGGGAGGCGCUGAGGGGACGCGCCCGGCCGGGCUCUCACUGCCCGCCGAGCCCCUCGGGAGCCUCGCCGACACAGCCCGGAGCCGGACGUGCCCUCGGGAGGGACUCUGCCAGGAGCAGUGUGGAGACGGCUUGGAAGUCCUGUGUCCCGCGGUCCCUCGCUGAAAUUCGAUUGGAAAGGCUGGAGCCACAGCAGCUGGGGAGCCACAGAGAGGUACGUCAUCGACAGUGUGCUGCUCCACGGCCAGCCUGGCUGGUUAGGGCAGUGCUUGUCACAGUUCCGUGGAGACAACACCGGAAAAACACCCUGCACUUACAGAUCACUCAUCUCAAGUUUCUCCUUCAAAUCCACAUUCAGACUGAAGCCGAACAUCAUCCAAAACUGGUGAGAGAUGACAGGCAUUGAAAAGGUAGCUUCAUUCCAAGCCUGUUCUCCUUGUGAGUCCCUCCUGUCUAAAUAAAGCUGUGGUACUUGUG
Pipra filicauda (Wire-tailed manakin) is the source of this 581-nucleotide long non-coding RNA. RefSeq lists it as uncharacterized. The transcript has 2 exons. NCBI's taxonomy places the organism in Eukaryota, Metazoa, Chordata, Aves, Passeriformes, Pipridae. The record is from RefSeq and is a predicted model, not a curated record.